RNAcentral lists this ribosomal RNA (301 nucleotides) under uncultured bacterium. RNAcentral's name for it is "partial 16S ribosomal RNA". It matches the Rfam family "Bacterial small subunit ribosomal RNA", at positions 509 to 807 of the family's 1533-position model. The record is from RNAcentral.
CAGCAGCCGCGGGAACACGAAGGGUGCAAGCGUUACUCGGAAUUACUGGGCGUAAAGCGUGCGUAGGUGGUGGUUUAAGUCCGUUGUGAAAGCCCUGGGCUCAACCUGGGAAUUGCAGUGGAUACUGGGUCACUAGAGUGUGGUAGAGGAUAGUGGAAUUUCCGGUGUAGCAGUGAAAUGCGUAGAGAUCGGAAGGAACAUCUGUGGCGAAGGCGACUAUCUGGGCCAACACUGACACUGAGGCACGAAAGCGUGGGGAGCAAACAGGAUUAGAUACCCCGGUAGUCCCUGUCUCUUAUAC